Molecule: ribosomal RNA, 432 nt
Filed under: uncultured bacterium
Lineage: Bacteria
Description: bacterial SSU rRNA
Rfam family: Bacterial small subunit ribosomal RNA
Source: RNAcentral
AACGAACGCUGGCGGCAGGCUUAACACAUGCAAGUCGAACGCACCUUCGGGUGAGUGGCAGACGGGUGAGUAACGCGUGGGAACCUUCCCUGUGGUACGGAAUAGCUCCGGGAAACUGGAAUUAAUGCCGUAUACGCCCUUCGGGGGAAAGAUUUAUCGCCAUAGGAUGGGCCCGCGUCGGAUUAGCUUGUUGGUAGGGGUAAUGGCCUACCAAGGCAACGAUCCGUAGCUGGUCUUAGAGGAUGAUCAGCCACACUGGGACUGAGACACGGCCCAGACUCCUACGGGAGGCAGCAGUGGGGAAUAUUGGACAAUGGGCGAAAGCCUGAUCCAGCCAUGCCGCGUGAGUGACGAAGGCCUUAGGGUUGUAAAACUCUUUUGGCGGGGACGAUAAUGACGGUACCCGCAGAAUAAGCCCCGGCUAACUUCGUG